GACGAACGCUGGCGGCGUGCCUAAUACAUGCAAGUAGAACGCUGAAGCGAGGAGCUUGCUCUUCUUGGAUGAGUUGCGAACGGGUGAGUAACGCGUAGGUAACCUGCCUUGUAGCGGGGGAUAACUAUUGGAAACGAUAGCUAAUACCGCAUAACAAUGGAUGACACAUGUCAUUUAUUUGAAAGUGGCAAUUGCUCCACUACAAGAUGGACCUGCGUUGUAUUAACUAGUAGGUGAGGUAAUGGCUCACCUAGGCGACGAUACAUAGCCGACCUGAGAGGGUGAUCGGCCACACUGGGACUGAGACACGGCCCAGACUGCUACGGGAGGCAGCAGUAGGGAAUCUUCGGCAAAGGGGGCAAACCUGACCGAGCAACGCCGCGUGAGUGAAGAAGGUUGUCGGAUCGUAAAGCUCUGUUGUAAGUCAAGAACGGGUGUGAGAGUGGAAAGUUCACACUGUGACGGUAGCUUACCAGAAAGGGACGGCUAACUACGUG
This 497-nucleotide ribosomal RNA is filed under the name uncultured bacterium. RNAcentral's name for it is "partial 16S ribosomal RNA". It matches the Rfam family "Bacterial small subunit ribosomal RNA", at positions 28 to 507 of the family's 1533-position model. The record is from RNAcentral.